Molecule: ribosomal RNA, 740 nt
Filed under: uncultured eukaryote
Lineage: Eukaryota
Description: SSU rRNA
Rfam family: Eukaryotic small subunit ribosomal RNA
Source: RNAcentral
GGGCGUGUGUGCCGUGUCGUGUUUGUCAUCCUUCCAGAGAGCUGCGUCUACCAUUCACUUGGCCGGACGUACGCGAUCUGGAUCGAUUACUUUGAAAAAAUUAGAGUGUUUAAAGCAGGCUUACGCUGUGAAUACAUUAGCAUGGAAUAAUAAUUUAGGACUUCGGUUCUAUUUUGUUGGUUUCUAGGACUGAAGUAAUGAUUGAUAGGGACAGUUGGGGGUGCUAGUAUUCCGCGGCCAGAGGUGAAAUUCUUGGAUUCGCGGAAGACUAACUACUGCGAAAGCAUUCACCAAGGAUGUCUUCUUUAAUCAAGAACGAAAGUUGGGGGAUCGAAGACGAUCAGAUACCGUCGUAGUCUCAACCAUAAACUAUACCGACUAAGGAUCAGUGAACGUUGAUUUACGACUUCAUUGGCACUUUGUGAGAAAUCAAAGUCUUUGGGUUCCGGGGGGAGUAUGGUCGCAAGGCUGAAACUUAAAGGAAUUGACGGAAGGGCACCACCAGGAGUGGAGCCUGCGGCUUAAUUUGACUCAACACGGGAAAACUUACCAGGUCCAGACAUAGUGAGGAUUGACAGAUUGAAGAUCUUUCUUGAUUCUAUGGGGUGGUGGUGCAUGGCCGUUCUUAGUUGGUGGAGUGAUUUGUCUGGUUAAUUCCAGUUAACGAACGAGACCUCGACCUGCUAAAUAGUACCAGUUAUUCAUUGGAUAAUCUGGGCACUUCUUAGAGGGACUAUCGG